UUACGGUCAUAUCACACUGAAACACAGGUUCCCGUGCAAUCGCCGAAGUUAAGCAAGGUCGUGCCUGGUCAGUAUGGGUAAGGGCUUGGGAAUAGCAAUUGCUGUAA
Molecule: non-coding RNA, 107 nt
Organism: Acanthosepion pharaonis
Lineage: Eukaryota; Metazoa; Mollusca; Cephalopoda; Sepiida; Sepiidae
Source: the annotation of a GenBank genome assembly